This 138-nucleotide ribosomal RNA is filed under the name uncultured eukaryote. RNAcentral's name for it is "partial 18S ribosomal RNA". It matches the Rfam family "Eukaryotic small subunit ribosomal RNA", at positions 1299 to 1458 of the family's 1831-position model. The record is from RNAcentral.
UGGUGGAGUGAUUUGUCUGGUUAAUUCCGUUAACGAACGAGACCUUAGCCUACUAAAUAGUCGCAACAACUACACGUUGGCUGCGGCUUCUUAGAGGGACUUUGCAAGCAAAUUGCAAGGAAGUUUGAGGCAAUAGCA